GCAGUUUUGUAAGUGAGCCCAGGAUAGGGGCUGGUGCUCCACUGCCUUUCACCUUGAUACAUCUUCAGCCAAGUACAGAAAAGAGAGAGCAGCAAAUCUGAGCGUGUUGUGGCUGUACUGAAGGAUUCUGCACUGCUGGGGGACAGCUGAGGUCCGUGAAGCUGCCUCUGGGUUGGCCUUCAGCUUGCUCGUGCAUCCAGACACAGUGAACUGGAGCUUUGGCAUAGAGGAAAGGAGGUUUCGAGAGAGGACAACACGCUUGUUUUUUCUGCUGCCUGCAGAACCAGCGCUUGAUCUCAUGAGUUAGAUGACUUUUGAAAGGUGCCUGGAAGUCCCUUGCAGAAGUUGCUGCUCCCAGGAAUGUGCUGACAUAAUGGCUCCUACAGAAGCGUGAAGCUGAAUCAGGUCCUCGCCCUGCUCUGUGCAGAAUUAUGUCCCAGUGAGGAGGGAUCAGAAAGAGGCUUCCUGAAAUACUGCCCUUGCACUAGAGAUCUGUCACAAUUGAGACAACUUUCAAAUAUAAAUUGUGUUAAUAAUGCUCCAAUUUGCUCAGUCAGAGGCUGGGAAGGAGCAGAACCCAGAAAUAAAACAUAAAAAGUGUGUUCUGGCCACUGAAGCCAGUGUUGGCACAUCUUUUCAUGGAUCACUCUGGACUGGGGAAGUCAUCUAAUCAAGAACAGGCUAGCAUGGACAAAAGCUGGCUCAGCUUCCAGGCUGCUCCACCCAGGCUGGAGGCAUCUUCCUGUGUUCUGUGAACAGUGCAGCAAAGCAGAGAAUUUCAGGGACCGGAGAUCAAUCUGCUGUGCGGACACUGCUGUCAAAACAGCUCUUUAAUCACUUUGCCAGCAGUCAGGCUGGUUUCUCAUCGUUGUGUAUGAAGAUCUGAUGUUCACAGUCUGCUGCAGUCCCCAAAGAGGGCAAUUGCAUCCAGCUGAGUGUUCCAGAACUACAUGGCGUAAAAGGAGCAGAUAUCCACAGCCCUUGGGCACCGAACAGUGCCACUCUCUCCCAAGUGGGAGAGUAGCCAGCUGUGACAUCCCCUGAGUGGAGCAGACACAUCAGCCAGAGGCCUGUGAGAACUUGGAACAUUAGGAGGGGUUGGAAACCAACAAGGCCUGGACUCCCAUGACUAUGUCCAACCACAGCUUGAGGGUAUCAUUGUGCUAAAAGACUGGUUGUAUGUAACACCAGGUAUAGCAGCUGCUUGGAAAUGAUAGAUAUUUAAAUGCUGCUUUCUCCCAUCAGCCCUAUCGAGUCAGCAAGGCAGGGAGAGCUUGUCCUUCACAGCGUCCUUCCCUGCCCUCCAGGCCCUGCCAGCCCUGGUACCCCACAGCAUGCAUGGGUGAUCUCUGAAAGCCUCUGCUGGGCUAAACACCACCUGAUUCAGAGGGACAGAAGGAAGCCAGGGCUGGUGCUCAGUUCCCAGUCUGUGCAUGAGGUAGAAGUAAAACCAGCUGACUUCCUAUCAUGCUUGAGUGCAUCCACACUGGAGGUACCAAGUAAACGCAGGGACUGGUCCUUGGAUUUUGCUUUUUGGGUGGAUCUGCCUUUUAGAAUGUGGACAGAUGAAGAGCUGGAUCCUGUGACACAUCAAGCACGUGUCAGACUUACAUCUGCUGACUGGGCUGCUUUUCUUGGGGAUGGGUAAGGAAAGAAAGUGCUCUGUAAGUACAGGAGGAAGAGAAGGAAGUGAAUGUAAUCACUGGUUGCAUAUGCAAGGGUGGGUUGGUUGGUUUGUGUGGGUUUUUUUUGCCUUUCUUAUGCAUCUUCCUGAAUAAAGGUACUUUCUGGAGGCUCAAAUUUAGUUGUUAGGCAAUAUUCAGUGAAGAAUGAAACAUCUCCAUUUCAGGUUUUAAUUCCAAGGUGUGGUACCAAAGUUCUCAGACAGUCUUCCUUUGACACGAGUGGAAAGUUUUGCUGAAGAAGGCUUCUGCUUUCAGUCAUGCUAUUGAGGGGCCUGGGUUACAGCUACUUUGUUUAAGAAUGCAUCACAGGUCAGAGAAAAGACUCUGUGAAGGAACCUCUCAGUGAGGCACUAUUUUGAAUCACAGAAUUGUAAGGGCUGGAAGGAACUUCUAAAGAUUAUCUGAUCAUUUGAGGCAGCGAUGGAACUUAAGUCCCAGAAGUUCCUCCUUUAAUCAGGAGUCGCACCUUUCAUUGCCACACUGUGGAAGAACCUCCCCACUUAAUCCCCCAGGACUGAGUGUGGGUAGGAAA
Long non-coding RNA from Lagopus leucura (white-tailed ptarmigan), 2217 nucleotides. RefSeq lists it as uncharacterized. The record is from RefSeq and is a predicted model, not a curated record. The transcript has 8 exons. NCBI's taxonomy places the organism in Eukaryota, Metazoa, Chordata, Aves, Galliformes, Phasianidae.